RNAcentral lists this ribosomal RNA (496 nucleotides) under uncultured bacterium. Its description in RNAcentral is "partial 16S ribosomal RNA". It matches the Rfam family "Bacterial small subunit ribosomal RNA", at positions 29 to 507 of the family's 1533-position model. The record is from RNAcentral.
AUGAACGCUGGCGGCGUGCCUAAUACCUGCCAGUCGAGCGAACAGACGAGGAGCUUGCUCCUCUGACGUUAGCGGCGGACGGGUGAGUAACACGUGGAUAACCUACCUAUAAGACUGGGAUAACUUCGGGAAACCGGAGCUAAUACCGGAUAAUAUAUUGAACCGCAUGGUUCAAUAGUGAAAGACGGUUUUGCUGUCACUUAUAGAUGGAUCCGCGCCGCAUUAGCUAGUUGGUAAGGUAACGGCUUACCAAGGCAACGAUGCGUAGCCGACCUGAGAGGGUGAUCGGCCACACUGGAACUGAGACACGGUCCAGACGCCUACGGGAGGCAGCAGUAGGGAAUCUUCCGCAAUGGGCGAAAGCUUGACGGAGCAACGCCGCGUGAGUGAUGAAGGUCUUCGGAUCGUAAAACUCUGUUAUUAGGGAAGAACAAAUGUGUAAGUAACUAUGCACGUCUUGACGGUACCUAAUCAGAAAGCCACGGCUAACUACGUG